CGCAGAAUGCAAAAUGAAGUUCCUCUUGAUUCUUGGUGAGAAAAGUUAAAAAAUUUGUUUAUUUAUUGUUGCCGAAGCUUUUGACAGAUAACUUUCUUGGGUGCAAUUGUGGUAACUGCCGUGUUCUUCUCUUGGUUAAACCAAAAGAUUGUAGAUGUUGCCACGAAAUUAUCAAUUGCAUGAUUGAAAUGCAAGAUCAUAUGGUGGUAUCCGAAUUCGGAAGGCAGCCAAAAUGCAUCACAGAGUAUCCAGGAUUUGAAGCCAUUUGCUUCAAUCGAUGGGCAUUGAAUUUAGCUGCCAAUCUUUACCAAAGACGAGAUGGAGUUAGAUAUCGUAAAGGAUUCUUGGAGCAAAGGUUUUUUCGAGUUGUUGCAUAUAGGCAAUUUACAAGAAUGGUACAUGGCAUUCUUCAAGACAAAAGAAUUCCACUUCCAGCUUGUGCUUACCAUGUUAUUCGAACAACUUUUAAUUUAAAGAAAAAUGAACAUUUUGCAGGGUAUGAAGAGGACAAUUUGUGAAAUAACAUAACAUAUAUUAUUUUAGGUGUUGUGUGCAUGAGACAAGCUAGUAGGGAUUCAGUGAAGUGUGGAAUGAUUUUAGGCACUCUUGAUGUAUUGCGUCUUCGAUUCACACUUAUUCUUGUUAUACAAAACAUACAAAAUUACAAUUCCUUUUAUUUUAUUCUUUCUAUGCAGUCAUUUCACACUUCACUGAAUCCCAACUAACUGAGCUCAUACCACCAGCUCCUAAAAAAGUGAUUACUUUUGGUUUUUUUGACAGUUAAUUAUAUUUUUAUGGCCUUUCAUCCAA
Molecule: long non-coding RNA, 810 nt
Organism: Xenia sp. Carnegie-2017
Lineage: Eukaryota; Metazoa; Cnidaria; Anthozoa; Malacalcyonacea; Xeniidae
Exons: 2
Source: RefSeq, a predicted model, not a curated record